This 479-nucleotide ribosomal RNA is filed under the name uncultured bacterium. Its description in RNAcentral is "SSU rRNA". It matches the Rfam family "Bacterial small subunit ribosomal RNA", at positions 26 to 518 of the family's 1533-position model. The record is from RNAcentral.
AGGACGAACGCUGGCGGCGCGCUUAACACAUGCAAGUCGAGCGAGAACCAGGGCUUCGGCCCUGGGGAAGCGGCGAACGGGUGAGUAACACGUGAGUAACCUGUCCUCGGCACCGGGAUAGCCCGGGGAAACCCGGAUUAAUACCGGAUGGCCUUUCGAGCUCUCGGGCUCGUUAGAAAAGGUAGCUUCGGCCUCCGGCCGAGGAGGGACUCGCGGCGGAUUAGCUUGUUGGUGAGGUAACGGCUCACCAAGGCGACGAUCCGUAGCUGGUCUGAGAGGACGAUCAGCCACACUGGGACUGAGACACGGCCCAGACUCCUACGGGAGGCAGCAGUGGGGAAUAUUGGACAAUGGGGGCAACCCUGAUCCAGCCAUGCCGCGUGAGUGAUGAAGGCCUUCGGGUUGUAAAGCUCUUUUGGCGGGGACGAUGAUGACGGUACCCGCAGAAUAAGCCCGGCUAACUUCGUGCCAGCAGCCGC